AGGAAUAUUGGUCAAUGGACGCAAGUCUGAACCAGCCAUGCCGCGUGCAGGAUGACGGCUCUAUGAGUUGUAAACUGCUUUUGUACGAGGGUAAACGCAGAUACGUGUAUCUGUCUGAAAGUAUCGUACGAAUAAGGAUCGGUUAACUCCGUGCCAGCAGCCGCGGUAAU
RNAcentral lists this ribosomal RNA (170 nucleotides) under uncultured Alistipes sp. RNAcentral's name for it is "partial 16S ribosomal RNA". It matches the Rfam family "Bacterial small subunit ribosomal RNA", at positions 357 to 524 of the family's 1533-position model. The record is from RNAcentral. Lineage: Bacteria; Pseudomonadati; Bacteroidota; Bacteroidia; Bacteroidales; Rikenellaceae.